UACGUAGGGUGCAAGCGUUAUCCGGAAUUAUUGGGCGUAAAGAGCUCGUAGGCGGUUUGUCGCGUCUGCUGUGAAAACUGGGGGCUCAACCCCCAGCCUGCAGUGGGUACGGGCAAACUAGAGUGCGGUAGGGGAGAUUGGAAUUCCUGGUGUAGCGGUGGAAUGCGCAGAUAUCAGGAGGAACACCAAUGGCGAAGGCAGAUCUCUGGGCCGUAACUGACGCUGAGGAGCGAAAGCAUGGGGAGCGAACAGG
This 253-nucleotide ribosomal RNA is filed under the name uncultured bacterium. Its description in RNAcentral is "partial 16S ribosomal RNA". It matches the Rfam family "Bacterial small subunit ribosomal RNA", at positions 524 to 776 of the family's 1533-position model. The record is from RNAcentral.